RNAcentral lists this ribosomal RNA (1466 nucleotides) under uncultured bacterium. Its description in RNAcentral is "bacterial SSU rRNA". It matches the Rfam family "Bacterial small subunit ribosomal RNA". The record is from RNAcentral.
GACAACGCUGGCGGCGGGCCUAACACAUGCAAGUCGUGGGAGAAUCCAGCUCUUCGGAGCUGGAGGAGACCGGCGGACGGGUGAGUAACGCGUAGGCAACCUACCCUCAGGAGAAGGAUAACCCGUCGAAAGAUGGGCUAAUACUUCAUGAUGCAGCGGGGUCGCAUGACCACAGUUGUUAAAGGUUUUCGGGCGCCUGAGGAUGGGCCUGCGUGACAUUAGCUAGUUGGUGAGGUAAGAGCUUACCAAGGCGAUGAUGUCUAGGGGGUCUGAGAGGAUGAUCCCCCACACGGGGACUGAGACACGGCCCCGACUCCUACGGGAGGCAGCAGUGAGGAAUCUUGCGCAAUGGGGGAAACCCUGACGCAGCCACGCCGCGUGCUGGAAGAAGGUCCUAUGGAUCGUAAACAGCUUUUCUACGGGAAGAAGGGGUCCCGAUUUGUCGGGACUUGACGGUACUGUAGGAAUAAGCACCGGCUAACUCCGUGCCAGCAGCCGCGGUAAUACGGAGGGUGCAAGCGUUGUCCGGAAUCAUUGGGUGUAAAGGGUGCGUAGGCGGAGCUUUAAGUCUGCGGUGAAAUCUUGCCGCUUAACGGUAAAAGUGCCGUGGAAACUAGAGCUCUUGAGUGUAGCAGAGGCCGGUGGAAUUCGUGGUGUAGCGGUGAAAUGCAUAGAUAUCACGAAGAACACCAGUGGCGAAAGCGGCCGGCUGGGCUACGACUGACGCUGAGGCACGAGAGCGUGGGGAGCGAACAGGAUUAGAUACCCUGGUAGUCCACGCUGUAAACGAUGUGCGCUAGAUGUUGGCCCUUCGGGGUCAGUGUCGCAGUUAACGCAUUAAGCGCACCACCUGGGGAGUACGUCCGCAAGGAUGAAACUCAAAGGAAUUGACGGGGGCCCGCACAAGCGGUGGAGCAUGUGGCUUAAUUCGAUGCAACGCGAAGAACCUUACCCGGGCUAAAUCCAUGCUGCCGGCUCCCGAAACGGAGUCGUUCCGUCUUUGACGGACGGCAUGGAAGGUGCUGCAUGGCUGUCGUCAGCUCGUGCCGUGAGGUGUUGGGUUAAGUCCCGCAACGAGCGCAACCCCUGCUGCUAGUUACCAGCGCAUUAUGGCGGGGACUCUAGCAGGACUGCCUACGCAAGUAGUGAGGAAGGUGGGGACGACGUCAAGUCAUCAUGGCCCUUACGUCCGGGGCUGCACACGUGCUACAAUGGAUGGUACAACGGGAAGCUACUCGGCAACGAGGUGCGAAUCUCGAAAGCCAUCCCCAGUUCGGAUCGUAGUCUGCAACUCGACUGCGUGAAGGUGGAAUCGCUAGUAAUCGCGGAUCAUCAACGCCGCGGUGAAUACGUUCCCGGGCCUUGUACACACCGCCCGUCAAGCGAUGGAAGUCAGGAGUACCUGACGUCGCCGUGCUAACCCUUCGGGGAGGCAGGCGCCCAGGGUAAGCCUGGCAACUGGCGCU